CGGUUUGAUCAGUCCAUUGGGAAAUCUGGUGGCUUAACCGUCAGAAUUCCAAUGGAUACUGUCAGACUUGGGACCGGGAGAGGUAAGAGGUACUACAGGGGUAGGAGUGAAAUCUUGUAAUCCCUGUAGGACCACCAGUUGCGAAGGCGUCUUACCAGAACGGGUCCGACGGUGAGGGACGAAAGCUGGGGGCACGAACCGGAUUAGAUACCCGGGUAGUCCCAGCCGUAAACGAUGCUCGCUAGGUGUUAGGGAUGGUACGGCCGUUCCUAGUGCCGAAGGGAAGCCGUGAAGCGAGCCACCUGGGAA
Molecule: ribosomal RNA, 309 nt
Filed under: uncultured archaeon
Lineage: Archaea
Description: bacterial SSU rRNA
Rfam family: Archaeal small subunit ribosomal RNA
Source: RNAcentral